This 492-nucleotide ribosomal RNA is filed under the name uncultured bacterium. RNAcentral describes it as "partial 16S ribosomal RNA". It matches the Rfam family "Bacterial small subunit ribosomal RNA", at positions 29 to 507 of the family's 1533-position model. The record is from RNAcentral.
AGUGAACGCUGGCGGUAGGCCCAACACAUGCAAGUCGAACGGCAGCACAGUAAGAGCUUGCUCUUAUGGGUGGCGAGUGGCGGACGGGUGAGGAAUACAUCGGAAUCUACUUUUUCGUGGGGGAUAACGUAGGGAAACUUACGCUAAUACCGCAUACGACCUACGGGUGAAAGCAGGGGAUCUUCGGACCUUGCGCGAUUGAAUGAGCCGAUGUCGGAUUAGCUAGUUGGCGGGGUAAAGGCCCACCAAGGCGACGAUCCGUAGCUGGUCUGAGAGGAUGAUCAGCCACACUGGAACUGAGACACGGUCCAGACUCCUACGGGAGGCAGCAGUGGGGAAUAUUGGACAAUGGGCGCAAGCCUGAUCCAGCCUUACCGCGUGGGUGAAGAAGGCCUUCGGGUUGUAAAGCCCUUUUGUUGGGAAAGAAAAGCAGCAGGUUAAUACCCCGCUGUUCUGACGGUACCCAAAGAAUAAGCACCGGCUAACUUCGUG